GAUAGGUCGGGUGUGGAAGCACAGUAAUGUGUGUAGCUAACCGAUACUAAUAGCUCGAUUGGUUUACUUUGCUGUGAGAUUACAUAUGCAUAUAGUGUUAAUGUUAUAAGAGUGUAGUAUCUACUCACAAAGUUAUCAGGUUAAAUAGUUUUAUCAACUAAUAAAAAUGUUAUUGCAUAACUAAUGUUAUAUACUGUAGCCCUGCCACGAUAUCCAGCGAGAAUUAUUUUGCUGAGUAUCGUAGUAAAAGUUAAGAUAUGAUGUUGAGAAUUUUUUUGAGCCGUGCAACAACAUUAACAGCAAACUAUAAUACAAAUCUAUCUUUUUAAAAGUUUGUAUUGCUAGCUUGGUGGUUAUAGCAUGAGUGAAACACACGAUCCCACCCCGAA
This 389-nucleotide unclassified non-coding RNA is filed under the name Rickettsia conorii. The record is from RNAcentral. Lineage: Bacteria; Pseudomonadati; Pseudomonadota; Alphaproteobacteria; Rickettsiales; Rickettsiaceae.